This is a long non-coding RNA of Trachemys scripta elegans, 2277 nucleotides long. RefSeq lists it as uncharacterized. Lineage: Eukaryota; Metazoa; Chordata; Testudines; Emydidae. The record is from RefSeq and is a predicted model, not a curated record. The transcript has 3 exons.
UAUAAGCCCAGGUUCAGGCAGCUUCAUGUACUGAAACUCUUAGGCUAUUGAAUGAUUUUAUUUUUCUGAGGUGCUGGGCUCUUGUCUUUAUGGUGUAAAACUUGCGUAGACUGUAGGUGAGAAAAGGCUAGCAGACCCCUGGGUUCAUCCCUUGCUGCUACUCUUCCAUGGGAGUUGGGGUCUGAGAGAGCACUGAGAAGAGGAGAUGGCCUGGGUGCAGUGCUGUCUGUACGUGGAAAGGCUGGGACCCGGUGUCCUCAAGCAGGCUCCACAGGUGGCCCAGAAAGCUGCCAAACUACUAUAUUUCCCUUCCAUGCUGCUGCUUUUCCAGGGCAGCCUCUUCCUCUUGCUCAUUGGACCUCAGUUCUCAGCUCCAGUCCCUACCCCCUAAAAUCCAUCUCCUUCUGCAGCCUGUGGCUUCCUUCAUCUCACUCCCUCGACCCUGAAGUGAGGUGCUGAUGCUGCUAGUGGCGAAGAGGAAGGCUGAGAGAGGUGCAGAGCAAGGAGGAACCAGCUCUCGAGCCUGCCGCUUGCGCUCUGCCCCCGAAGCACAGAGGUAGGUUGGAAAGAGCUGCUCAGAGGAAGGACAAAGGCACAGAUGAGCUGCCUGGAAACAGAUAUGAACAGGAGAGCCUUCCCCCACUCUUCACUGUCUAUUAGGAGUCUCUGGAAUCAGUAAAUGCAAACUGGACUGUACCUAGCUGGCCUGAAACACCCCAUCUUGCUAAUAGGCAUUGAUUAUAUUGGGGAAUGCACAGUGCGUUCUGCUAACUCACAGAGGGCAUACAAGAUACCAAAGCGCUGGAUGGUGACAUUGAUGAUACAGCCGAAUCACAGACUGACUGACUUUUAUGAACAAGAACAAAAUAAAUUAAAGGAAACAGUAGUAACUUCUUCACAGUUUGGAGGAGGAGAACACAGCAAGAAACCUGAAAUCUUAGAAUCCCCAGGAAUAGGAAGUAAAAUAAAGCAAUGAAGAUUCUGGCUAGGAAUAUUUUGAGUUUACAUCAGAAGUUAAGACUGAAGAUUCACGCCAGAAGCAGAGAUCUUACCUGCCAUGGAGAAAUGAUACAAAGCACAUCAGACUCCUUUCUGUCAAUGGGCCAAAUUCUGGUCCCAUCAAAGUCAAUGGCAAGAUUUCCAGUGACUUCAAUGGGACCAGAUUCAGCACAAUUACACUAAAACAAUAGGUCCCAGCCAUUCUCACUCAGUAAUAUCCAGGGAUAAGAAGAUUCUUGUGAAGCUAAUUCAACCCUUGGUAUGGAAGACAUACAUUCCCAGUCAGACUCCCACUCAACCAUGCAAAUUUCACUGCCUAGUCCUCUAGAUCAGAGAUUGCCAAACAUUUUUGCUGAGUCCCCCUUCGUUGAUUCAUGUCCCAUGCUCAUCCCUCCAUAACUGUGAGGAGGGAGAGUAUCAGGGAAGAGGGGGGCUCAGUAGUCACAGGGGAACUGUGGUGGCUUGAUCCCAUGGGAGGGCUGGAGGAGGUCCUGCUGGGCGGAGCAGGGUAUCAUUAUUGCCAGGGUGGAGCCUUUUGCUCCCUGCUCGCAGAAUCCCUGCCAGCCUCCACAGCAGAGGAGGGUAACUGCUGGCUGCUGCAGUGGAGGAGCGAGAUGGGCAGGGAACCUGGUCUUGGCUGCACAGAGCCCCAAAUGCUUCCCCUGCAGAACAGACCCCCUGCCCCACUCUGACCCUGGCCUUUGAGCAUGGCCCCAUCAUGUCCUCGCACCCCCAUUAAUCUUAUGGUGCCCCUCCCUGGGGGACAUGCCUCACAGUUUGGGAAACUUUGCUCUAGACCUUCUGUCCUUUUCUAGCUAACAUCUGUAAUACUUCAAAUCCACCUUCCCAAACUCCAGGCUGUGUAUCUCCCAUUAUGCUUGUCAAAAAGCUACAUUUUCAAAGACAGCCUUUUUAGUAUGCACUUCGUUGCUCAUUCAUGUGCAACAAUGUGCCAAGGUAACUAAUGAUGGGAGGACUCUUCUGGCCAAAAUCUAUCACCCACUUGAAAUGGGUUGUCCCAUCCCCCCCAGAUUUACAACAAUUUGAGGUUCCAGUUCCCCUGGCUGUGGCACAACAUGAGCGCCGGACUGCUGCCUUUUUAAAACCAACAUAUUCUAUUCCCCAAACAGCCCUAAAAGGCCUGACACGGAUUGUGUUCAAACAACAGCCUGUAGUGUUUGCAUAGUACUAGCUUCCAUUUGGUUACAAAUAUAUAUAUUUCUUAUAUAAAAAUUUCCCUUGAAUGACAAUGGCUUAAAUAAUAAACAUUUUUUGCUA